This 73-nucleotide transfer RNA is filed under the name Bos taurus (domestic cattle). It matches the Rfam family "tRNA". Rfam says of the family: Transfer RNA (tRNA) molecules are approximately 80 nucleotides in length. RNAcentral also lists the same sequence under 5 other names. Lineage: Eukaryota; Metazoa; Chordata; Mammalia; Artiodactyla; Bovidae. The record is from Rfam by way of RNAcentral.
UCCCAGGUGGUCGAGUGGCUGGGACUCUGCGUUUCCACUGCAGAGGGCCCAGGUUCGAUCCCUGGUCAGGGAA